UACGUAGGGUGCGAGCGUUGUCCGGAAUUAUUGGGCGUAAAGGGCUCGUAGGCGGUCUGUCGCGUCGGGAGUGAAAACUCAGGGCUUAACCCUGAGCCUGCUUCCGAUACGGGCAGACUAGAGGUAUGCAGGGGAGAACGGAAUUCCUGGUGUAGCGGUGGAAUGCGCAGAUAUCAGGAGGAACACCGGUGGCGAAGGCGGUUCUCUGGGCAUUACCUGACGCCGAGGAGCGAAAGUGUGGGGAGCGAACAGG
RNAcentral lists this ribosomal RNA (253 nucleotides) under uncultured bacterium. RNAcentral describes it as "partial 16S ribosomal RNA". It matches the Rfam family "Bacterial small subunit ribosomal RNA", at positions 524 to 776 of the family's 1533-position model. The record is from RNAcentral.